GACGAACGCUGGCGGCGUGCUUAACACAUGCAAGUCGAACGGAAAGGCCCUGCUUGUAGGGUACUCGAGUGGCGAACGGGUGAGUAACACGUGGGUGAUCUGCCCUGCACUUCGGGAUAAGCCUGGGAAACUGGGUCUAAUACCGGAUAGGAGCCAUUUUUAGUGUGAUGGUUGGAAAGUUUUUUCGGUGUAGGAUGAGCUCGCGGCCUAUCAGCUUGUUGGUGGGGUAAUGGCAUACCAAGGCGGCGACGGGUAGCCGGCCUGAGAGGGUGGACGGCCACAUUGGGACUGAGAUACGGCCAAGACUCCUACGGGAGGCAGCAGUGGGGAAGAUUGCACAAGGGGCGCAAGCCUGAUGCAGAGACGCCGCGUGGGGGAUGACGGCCUUCGGGUUGGAAACUCAUUACGCUAGGGACGAAGCUUUUUGUGACGGUACCUAGAGAAGAAGCACCGGCUAACUACGUG
RNAcentral lists this ribosomal RNA (465 nucleotides) under uncultured bacterium. Its description in RNAcentral is "partial 16S ribosomal RNA". It matches the Rfam family "Bacterial small subunit ribosomal RNA", at positions 28 to 507 of the family's 1533-position model. The record is from RNAcentral.